This 352-nucleotide ribosomal RNA is filed under the name uncultured bacterium. RNAcentral describes it as "bacterial SSU rRNA". It matches the Rfam family "Bacterial small subunit ribosomal RNA", at positions 527 to 881 of the family's 1533-position model. The record is from RNAcentral.
GGAGGAUGCGAGCGUUAUCCGGAUUUAUUGGGUUUAAAGGGAGCGUAGGCCGGAGAUUAAGCGUGUUGUGAAAUGUAGACGCUCAACGUCUGCACUGCAGCGCGAACUGGUUUCCUUGAGUACGCACAAAGUGGGCGGAAUUCGUGGUGUAGCGGUGAAAUGCUUAGAUAUCACGAAGAACUCCGAUUGCGAAGGCAGCUCACUGGAGCGCAACUGACGCUGAAGCUCGAAAGUGCGGGUAUCGAACAGGAUUAGAUACCCUGGUAGUCCGCACGGUAAACGAUGGAUGCCCGCUGUUGGUCUGAACAGGUCAGCGGCCAAGCGAAAGCAUUAAGCAUCCCACCUGGGGAGU